This 505-nucleotide ribosomal RNA is filed under the name uncultured bacterium. RNAcentral describes it as "partial 16S ribosomal RNA". It matches the Rfam family "Bacterial small subunit ribosomal RNA", at positions 28 to 507 of the family's 1533-position model. The record is from RNAcentral.
GACGAACGCUGGCGGCGUGCCUAAUACAUGCAAGUAGAACGCACAGUUUAUACCGUAGCUUGCUACACCAUAGACUGUGAGUUGCGAACGGGUGAGUAACGCGUAGGUAACCUGCCUGGUAGCGAGGGAUAACUAUUGGAAACGAUAGCUAAUACCGCAUAAUAUUGAUUAUUGCAUGAUAAUUGAUUGAAAGAUGCUAUUGCAUCACUACCAGAUGGACCUGCGUUGUAUUAGCUAGUAGGUGAGGUAACGGCUCACCUAGGCGACGAUACAUAGCCGACCUGAGAGGGUGAUCGGCCACACUGGGACUGAGACACGGCCCAGACUCCUACGGGAGGCAGCAGUAGGGAAUCUUCGGCAAUGGACGAAAGUCUGACCGAGCAACGCCGCGUGAGUGAAGAAGGUUUUCGGAUCGUAAAGCUCUGUUGUAAGAGAAGAACGGGUGUGAGAGUGGAAAGUUCACACUGUGACGGUAGCUUACCAGAAAGGGACGGCUAACUACGUG